GAUAGAUAUAUAGAGAAACAAUACCUAAUCAGAUCCCCCAAACAUCGUGAGGCAAUAUAAAAUGUCUGAAAAAAUAUAGUUCUCUGAAAUAUUGCAAGGGAGCCCCAAGACAUUGACAUUCUAAAUUGCUUAGAGCUUAAAUGCUUAAUACAAUCAUGCUUCUCCAUUUUGAGCCAAUCCACCUAACGUGGACUACUUCAUUAAUACAUGCAAUCAUUCUAGAUAGCCUGCAAAACAAGAGGUAAAAGUCAGUAAAUAUUGUACAAAUAAAUUUUUUAGUUGGACUGAAAGGCUGAAAUUAAAAAUCAACAAAUAUAUGCAGGGUUAUUUCAUACUGCUAGUUUAUUGGGCAGCAUUAAUCUCCUUGUCGGCAUAUAAUGUAUAAUCCAAAAUCAUAUUACCAAUUUUGGGGCAACUUUAUACUACUUGCGAAUAUAAAGAAUAUGAUUAACUAACAAAUAUUGGAUUGUAGCAGAUGUGAAAAAAAUACUUCUAUGCUUCAACGAAUCAUAUGGUGUGAGUAUCGUCUGAAAGCUUUUAGGAUAAAUAUAAGGAUAGAAGGCUGUUUUGUUCAAGGAAACAGAAUGACUCUCCUUACACCAAGUCUAAGUUCAUCAUUAUUCAUCAUUGUUACAUGUAUAAAACGGGGAAAUACACAAUGAAUAAGAGGAAUAAGGAUAAAGAGCUGUUAACUUCAUCGCACUGUUCAUCGCACUGGAGCAGCCACACACUUGUACCCGGCACUACUGCGUGUCAAUGCAGAUUAGAGAGAUAUAUAGUUUAGGAUCUAGAGAUGGAAGAAGAUACCUGGGCCGACACUGCUCUCGUUGAUUCAAAAAUCCCUAGGACCAUCCCCCAGCAGCGGCCCCACUCAUCCUCUUCAAGGCUGCCUACCGCCUCGCGCUACUCCUUUUCUCGCUUAUCUCCACCGGCGCUCACCUUUCCGCUGGUGCCAUCCGUCAUGCCCUUCGUCUGACAACAAAAAUAAUUUGUUGUGAAUAUAUAUUGCCAAUUAGGCAUGAACAAUCAUUGCAAACUCAAAAUUCGAUUACUGUAAAAGAAGGAGCUCGAUAUCCACAGCCUCGUGCCCAUGUCCUCUCCCCACCAUGGCCUCAUGCCACCCCGCCAUGGUCCCGCCCCACAACCAACUUCGUCGGUAUCACAGAGAUCGAUGUCAUUGCUGGCGUCCAUCCUCGGCGACGACGACCUGGCAUGGCUCUAGGCCAAGGCGGUUGCCGAGGCAAAGAAUCUCUGCCUGGCCGCCUAGAAGGGCAUGCAGCUGGCGGCCAAGCUGCCGUCCAAGCACACUCCACCUGUGGUCUUCCUGCAGGUCGUAUUGUGGCUGAAGAUACCAAAGAUACCAAAGAUAAACGCAGAAACUUUAAAAAGAUCAUCUCAACAAGGUAUGCAAGUAAUUUCUUUUGGGUGUUUGAAUUGCCACAUCUUGGGUUUUGUUUUCAGUCCAUUAUAUAUUCUAGGGAAAAACUUCAUCUCAUUUCAUAGACCAAAUAAUAUUUAACCACAGGACCAGAUUUGCGUAAACUAAUUUGCAAGGUUUAUUCGAUUUUGUGCAUGACAAGGGGCAAGUAGAAUUUUUUCUGUAUGCACUUAGCAAGAUUAAAGUAAGAGGCACAAAGUGAAUCAAGUGUCUUAACAAGCAAUUUAAAAGUGAAAGUAGAUAAACAACUUACUAAUCCACAUAGAAGUGUGUUGAGUAUUGAAAUUUGAUUUGCCGCAUUGCAAUGGUCCGCUAUGGUCCUGCAGUAAUAUGUGUAUGACAGCAAAAGGAUCUUCAAAUUAGUAUGUACACUAACUUAUCCAUUAUAAUUCGAUAUAGUAUAUGAGAUAACUUGAACAUCUCUAGAAACCAGUGUGGAAAAAAUAUAACAGCCAAAUCGCACAUGUGGAUUUUCAUAUGCACAUUCCCAGACGCUACAAACUUGAUCAGAGCCGGGAGCAAGGAAAUGCAUAUCACAGUUUCAAUGACCGCUAGGAGAACCCUCUCCACAUCUGCGUGUUGAGAGACUUGAGAUAUUAAUUUUGCAGGCACUCCACACAAGCACAUGCAUGUUAUGUUAGCAGAGUAGAAGAGCCAUCAUCUUAAGUUAGGGUAUACAUUAUCAUUUUGGGUAUGAUCAAAUGGAAAUACCUGCUCAUGUCGUCCUUUGAUCCACUCAUCCAAAUCAUCCUACAAAGCUCAUGCAUAAUGGUUUAAGAAAUAAAGUAUAUAUGCUCAAAGGACGAGAUUGAUAGCUAACAAAUAGUUGAUGCUUACAAUUAGCUUGUGGUCUCCUCCUCCAACAUGUGUUUCCUGUUUGAGUGUUGUGAAAGGUCAGGAGGUCUAGGCAGGUCAAGGCGAUGGCCACCUUCAACUUUGGCAAUGCAAACCCCCUCUCGAUGGCCCUCUCCACAACAUCAUCCAUCCGCGUGUUGAGAGACUUGAGCUAUUAAUUUUGGAGGCACUCCACACAAGCACAUGCAUGUUAUGUUAGCAGAGUAGAAGAGCCAUCAUCUUAAGUUAGUGUAUACAUUAUCAUUUUGGGUAUGAUCAAAUGGAAAUACCUGCUCAUGUCGUCCUCUGAUCCACUCAUCCAAAUCAUC
Molecule: long non-coding RNA, 2601 nt
Filed under: Triticum aestivum (bread wheat)
Lineage: Eukaryota; Viridiplantae; Streptophyta; Magnoliopsida; Poales; Poaceae
Description: long non-coding RNA (TAES_LNC027847)
Source: RNAcentral